RNAcentral lists this unclassified non-coding RNA (496 nucleotides) under Hevea brasiliensis (rubber tree). Lineage: Eukaryota; Viridiplantae; Streptophyta; Magnoliopsida; Malpighiales; Euphorbiaceae. The record is from RNAcentral.
GCUCAGACAAAUACAAAAACAGUAAAAAGCUUCAUUUUCCUCAUCAAUCUCUAGAACAACUUUCAGAGCCUCAAUGUGUACCAAUGGGAAGCUCAGUCUCCGAUGAGUGUGCUUUUAAAAUGACAGCUAGACCAGCUAGAAAAUGUAGUAAAGUUAAAGCUGUUCUGGAUGUGGGUUCUCAGGACAAUCUGACAAUUGAUGCUUCUCAGCAGCUCAAGGCUGGGCCAGAAGCAGCACAUACACAUUAUUGUUCUCUAAAUGUAACGACUGCGCCUCAAAUUGAGCCCUCAAAUAACAGGUUAGAGCACCUUAAUGACUGCAAUGCAACUGAACAGCAUUCACGUAAGUUGGAAAUUGAGAAGACUGUCAACAAGCCAGAGUUACAGCCUCACUUUCCCUUUGGGGAUUAUUGGUCAGACCCAUGCUAUGAAUUUGCAUUCAAGACCCUUGCAGGUGCAAUACCAGUAGAUAAUUUGCCAGUUCAGAGUUACUUCCA